UCUAAUGUGGCAGAGUAGUGCAAUGGACUUAAACCCCAGAUAUAAAGAUUAUACUUUCUUUAGAA
This 65-nucleotide transfer RNA is filed under the name Megacyllene sp. KM-2017. RNAcentral's name for it is "tRNA-Leu". Lineage: Eukaryota; Metazoa; Arthropoda; Insecta; Coleoptera; Cerambycidae. The record is from RNAcentral.